UUCGCAAUGCCCGAAAGGGUGACGAUGCGACGCCGCGUGAGCGAAGAAGGCCCUAGGGUUGUAAAGCUCUGUCGAGGGUUAUGAAAUAUAGAUGGGUUAAUACCCCAUUUAUUUGACAAAAGCCCAAAAGGAAGCCACGGCUAACUCUGUGCCAGCAGCCGCGGUAAUACAGAGGUGGCGAGCGUUGUUCGGUAUUAUUGGGCGUAAAGAGCACGUAGGUGGUUUUGUAAGUCAGGUGUGAAAGCCUUCUGUUCAAAGGAAGAACGGCAUCUGAAACUGCAGAUCUUGAGUGUAGGAGGGGAGAGUGGAACUUCUGGUGGAGCGGUGAAAUGCGUAGAUAUCAGAAGGAACGCCGGCGGCGAAAGCGACUCUCUGGCCCGAAACUGACGCUGAGGUGCGAAAGCUAGGGGAGCAAACGGGAUUAGAUACCCCGGUAGUCCUAGCCGUAAACGAUGGGCACUAAGUAGAGGGGUUUU
RNAcentral lists this ribosomal RNA (476 nucleotides) under uncultured anaerobic ammonium-oxidizing bacterium. Its description in RNAcentral is "bacterial SSU rRNA". It matches the Rfam family "Bacterial small subunit ribosomal RNA", at positions 365 to 832 of the family's 1533-position model. The record is from RNAcentral.